This 253-nucleotide ribosomal RNA is filed under the name uncultured Coxiella sp. RNAcentral describes it as "partial 16S ribosomal RNA". It matches the Rfam family "Bacterial small subunit ribosomal RNA", at positions 524 to 776 of the family's 1533-position model. Lineage: Bacteria; Pseudomonadati; Pseudomonadota; Gammaproteobacteria; Legionellales; Coxiellaceae. The record is from RNAcentral.
UACAGAGGGUGCAAGCGUUAAUCGGAAUUACUGGGCGUAAAGGGUGCGUAGGUGGAUAUUUAAGUUGUAUGUGAAAGCCCUGGGCUUAACCUGGGAAUGGCAUAUGAAACUGGGUAUCUGGAGUGCGGUAGAGGGAAGUGGAAUUUCCGGUGUAGCGGUGAAAUGCGUAGAUAUCGGAAGGAACAUCAGUGGCGAAGGCGACUUCCUGGACCGUUACUGACACUGAGGCACGAAAGCGUGGGGAGCGAACAGG